This 349-nucleotide unclassified non-coding RNA is filed under the name soil metagenome. RNAcentral's name for it is "partial contains 5.8S ribosomal RNA, internal transcribed spacer 2, and large subunit ribosomal RNA". The stretch from base 1 to 120 matches the Rfam family "5.8S ribosomal RNA", at positions 35 to 154 of the family's 154-position model. The record is from RNAcentral.
GAUGAAGAACGUAGCAAAAUGCGAUAAGUAAUGUGAAUUGCAGAAUUCCGUGAAUCAUCGAGUCUUUGAACGCACAUUGCGCCCCCUGGUAUUCCGGGGGGCAUGCCUGUCCGAGCGUCAUUGCUGCCCAUCAAGCACGGCUUGUGUGUUGGGUCCUCGUCCCCCCCGGGGGACGUGCCCGAAAGGCAGCGGCGGCACCGCGUCCGGUCCUCGAGCGUAUGGGGCUUUGUCACCCGCUCUGCAGGCCCGGCCGGCGCUGGCCGACGCGAAAGCAACCAUUUUUUCUCCAGGUUGACCUCGGAUCAGGUAGGGAUACCCGCUGAACUUAAGCAUAUCAAUAAGCGGAGGA